GAUGAACGCUGGCGGCGUGCCUAAUACAUGCAAGUCGAGCGAACAGACGAGGAGCUUGCUCCUCUGACGUUAGCGGCGGACGGGUGAGUAACACGUGGAUAACCUACCUAUAAGACUGGGAUAACUUCGGGAAACCGGAGCUAAUACCGGAUAAUAUAUUGAACCGCAUGGAUCAAUAGUGAAAGACGGUUUUGCUGUCAAUUAUAGAUGGAUCCGCGCCGCAUUAGCUAGUUGGUAAGGUAACGGCUUACCAAGGCAACGCUGCGUAGCCGACCUGAGAGGGUGAUCGGCCACACUGGAACUGAGACACGGUCCAGACUACUACGGGAGGCAGCAGUAGGGAAUCUUCCGCAAUGGGCGAAAGCCUGACGGAGCAACGCCGCGUGAGUGAUGAAGGUCUUCGGAUCGUAAAGCUCUGUUAUUAGGGAAGAACAAAUGUGUAAGUAACUAUGCACGUCUUGACGGUACCUAAUCAAAAAGCCACGGCUAACUACGUG
Molecule: ribosomal RNA, 497 nt
Filed under: uncultured bacterium
Lineage: Bacteria
Description: partial 16S ribosomal RNA
Rfam family: Bacterial small subunit ribosomal RNA
Source: RNAcentral